UACGUAGGGUGUGAGCGUUGUCCGGAAUUACUGGGCGUAAAGAGCUCGCAGGUGGUUUGUCGCGUUGUUCGUGAAAACUCACAGCUCAACUGUGGGCGUGCGGGCGAUACGGGCAGACUGGAGUACUGCAGGGGAGACUGGAAUUCCUGGUGUAGCGGUGGAAUGCGCAGAUAUCAGGAGGAACACCGGUGGCGAAGGCGGGUCUCUGGGCAGUAACUGACGCUGAGGAGCGAAAGCGUGGGGAGCGAACAGG
Molecule: ribosomal RNA, 253 nt
Filed under: uncultured bacterium
Lineage: Bacteria
Description: partial 16S ribosomal RNA
Rfam family: Bacterial small subunit ribosomal RNA
Source: RNAcentral